AAAAGAGCUUGCUCCUUGGGUGGCGAGUGCGGACGGGUGAGGAAUACAUCGGAAUCUACUUUUUCGUGGGGGAUAACGUAGGGAAACUUACGCUAAUACCGCAUACGACCUACGGGUGAAAGCAGGGGACCUUCGGGCCUUGCGCGAUUGAAUGAGCCGAUGUCGGAUUAGCUAGUUGGCGGGGUAAAGGCCCACCAAGGCGACGAUCCGUAGCUGGUCUGAGAGGAUGAUCAGCCACACUGGAACUGAGACACGGUCCAGACUCCUACGGGAGGCAGCAGUGGGGAAUAUUGGACAAUGGGCGCAAGCCUGAUCCAGCCAUACCGCGUGGGUGAAGAAGGCCUUCGGGUUGUAAAGCCCUUUUGUUGGGAAAGAAAUCCAGCCGGCUAAUACCUGGUUGGGAUGACGGUACCCAAAGAAUAAGCACCGGCUAACUUCGUGCCAGCAGCCGCGGUAAUACGAAGGGUGCAAGCGUUACUCGGAAUUACUGGGCGUAAAGCGUGCGUAGGUGGUUGUUUAAGUCUGUUGUGAAAGCCCUGGGCUCAACCUGGGAACUGCAGUGGAAACUGGACAACUAGAGUGUGGUAGAGGGUAGCGGAAUUCCCGGUGUAGCAGUGAAAUGCGUAGAGAUCGGGAGGAACAUCCAUGGCGAAGGCAGCUACCUGGACCAACACUGACACUGAGGCACGAAAGCGUGGGAGCAAACGAA
RNAcentral lists this ribosomal RNA (709 nucleotides) under Stenotrophomonas sp. Z63. RNAcentral describes it as "bacterial SSU rRNA". It matches the Rfam family "Bacterial small subunit ribosomal RNA", at positions 72 to 776 of the family's 1533-position model. Lineage: Bacteria; Pseudomonadati; Pseudomonadota; Gammaproteobacteria; Lysobacterales; Lysobacteraceae. The record is from RNAcentral.